GAUGAACGCUGGCGGCGUGCUUAACACAUGCAAGUCGAACGAAGCACUCUAUUUGAUUUUCUUCGGAGAUGAAGAUUUUGUGACUGAGUGGCGGACGGGUGAGUAACGCGUGGGUAACCUGCCUCAUACAGGGGGAUAACAGUUGGAAACGACUGCUAAUACCGCAUAAGCGCACGGUACUGCAUGGUACCGUGUGAAAAACUCCGGUGGUAUGAGAUGGACCCGCGUCUGAUUAGCUAGUUGGUGGGGUAACAGCCUACCAAGGCGACGAUCAGUAGCCGACCUGAGAGGGUGACCGGCCACAUUGGGACUGAGACACGGCCCAAACUCCUACGGGAGGCAGCAGUGGGGAAUAUUGCACAAUGGGGGAAACCCUGAUGCAGCGACGCCGCGUGAGCGAAGAAGUAUUUCGGUAUGUAAAGCUCUAUCAGCAGGGAAGAAAAAAUGACGGUACCUGACUAAGAAGCACCGGCUA
RNAcentral lists this ribosomal RNA (475 nucleotides) under uncultured bacterium. Its description in RNAcentral is "bacterial SSU rRNA". It matches the Rfam family "Bacterial small subunit ribosomal RNA", at positions 28 to 499 of the family's 1533-position model. The record is from RNAcentral.